This 468-nucleotide ribosomal RNA is filed under the name uncultured bacterium. Its description in RNAcentral is "partial 16S ribosomal RNA". It matches the Rfam family "Bacterial small subunit ribosomal RNA", at positions 28 to 507 of the family's 1533-position model. The record is from RNAcentral.
GACGAACGCUGGCGGCGUGCUUAACACAUGCAAGUCGAACGGAAAGGCCCUGCUUUUGUGGGGUGCUCGAGUGGCGAACGGGUGAGUAACACGUGAGUAACCUGCCCUUGACUUUGGGAUAACUUCAGGAAACUGGGGCUAAUACCGGAUAGGAGCUCCUGCUGCACGGUGGGGGUUGGAAAGUUUCGGCGGUUGGGGAUGGACUCGCGGCUUAUCAGCUUGUUGGUGGGGUAGUGGCUUACCAAGGCUUUGACGGGUAGCCGGCCUGAGAGGGUGACCGGCCACAAUGGGACUGCGAUACGGCCCAGACUCCUACGGGAGGCAGCAGUGGGGAAUAUUGCACAAUGGGCGGAAGCCUGAUGCAGCAACGCCGCGUGCGUGAUGACGGCCUUCGGGUUGUAAACCGCUUUCGCCUGUGACGAAGCGUGAGUGACGGUAAUGGGUAAAGAAGCACCGGCUAACUACGUG